RNAcentral lists this ribosomal RNA (253 nucleotides) under uncultured bacterium. RNAcentral's name for it is "partial 16S ribosomal RNA". It matches the Rfam family "Bacterial small subunit ribosomal RNA", at positions 524 to 776 of the family's 1533-position model. The record is from RNAcentral.
UACGUAGGGUGCGAGCGUUGCCCGGAUUUAUUGGGCGUAAAGGGCGCGUAGGCGGCCUGGCGCGUCGGCUGUGAAAUCUCCCGGCUCAACUGGGAGGGGACGGCCGAUACGGCUGGGCUUGAGCGAGGUAGGGGAGAGUGGAAUUCCCGGUGUAGUGGUGGAAUGCGUAGAUAUCAGGAGGAACACCUAUUGCGAAGGCAGCUCGCUGGGACGUUACUGACGCUGAGACGCGAAAGCGUGGGGAGCAAACAGG